This 497-nucleotide ribosomal RNA is filed under the name uncultured bacterium. RNAcentral describes it as "partial 16S ribosomal RNA". It matches the Rfam family "Bacterial small subunit ribosomal RNA", at positions 28 to 507 of the family's 1533-position model. The record is from RNAcentral.
GAUGAACGCUGGCGGCGUGCCUAAUACAUGCAAGUCGAGCGAACGGACGAGAAGCUUGCUUCUCUGAUGUUAGCGGCGGACGGGUGAGUAACACGUGGAUAACCUACCUAUAAGACUGGGAUAACUUCGGGAAACCGGAGCUAAUACCGGAUAAUAUUUUGAACCGCAUGGUUCAAAAGUGAAAGACGGUCUUGCUGUCACUUAUAGCUGGAUCCGCGCUGCAUUAGCUAGUUGGUAAGGUAACGGCUUACCAAGGCAACGAUGCAUAGCCGACCUGAGAGGGUGAUCGGCCACACUGGAACUGAGACGCGGUCCAGGCGCCUACGAGAGGCAGCAGUAGGGAAUCUUCCGCAAUAGGCGAAAGCCUGACGGAGCAACGCCGCGUGAGUGAUGAAGGUCUUCGGAGCGUAAUACUCUGUUAUUAGGGAAGAACAUAUGUGUAAGUAACUGUGCACAUCUUGACGGUACCUAAUCAGAAAGCCACGGCUAACUACGUG